CCUAGAGCUCUGGAGGCGUCGGGCCCAGCCUGGGGACCAUGCAGCGGGAUGUGGGCAGCUUUCCCCUAGCCCCUGGCCUCCGGGCUAAGCUCAUCGGAGCCGGGUUCCAGACGGCCCAGGAGCUGCUGGAGAUCGGGCCCUGCGAGCUCAGCAAAGAAAUUGGAAUCUCUAAAGAGGAGGCACUAGAAACCUUGCAAAUUGUAAGAAGAGAAUGUAACAGUAAUGCAACAAAGACUGCUGGUGAUCCGGAAGCUGUUGGGAAGUGCACAGCACUAGAACUCUUGGCCCAAGAACAGGCACAAGGCUUCAUCAUCACCUUCUGUUCAGCUCUAGAUGAUAUUCUGGGAGGUGGUGUGCAACUAACAAAAAUCACAGAGAUCUGUGGAGCGCCAGGUGUUGGGAAAACCCAGUUAUGUAUGCAGCUGGCAGUAGAUGUGCAGAUUCCAGAAUGUUUUGGGGGGCUUGCUGGAGAAGCAGUUUUCAUUGAUACAGAGGGAAGCUUUAUGGUAGACAGAGUGGUAGACAUUGCAACUGCCUGUGUUCAGCACUGCCAGCUUAUUGCUGAAACACAUCAGGAAGAAGACUUUCAAAAAUCCCUGGAGACUUUCUCCCUUGAAAGUAUUCUUUCUCAUAUCUAUUACUUCCGUUGUCAUGACUACACAGAGCUGCUAGCACAGGUCUACCUCCUCCCAGACUUCCUUUCAGAGCAUUCAAAGGUCCGAUUGGUUAUUGUGGAUGGAAUUGCCUUUCCUUUUCGCCACGACUUUGAGGACCUCUCACUGCGAACGCGGCUUCUGAAUGGCUUAGCACAACAGUUGAUCAGCAUAGCAAAUGCUCAUAAAUUAGCUGUAGUUUUGACAAAUCAAAUGACAACAAGGAUUGGACAAAGUCAGUCCAUGUUGGUACCUGCUUUAGGGGAAAGCUGGGGACAUGCUGCUACCAUCCGUUUAAUCUUCCACUGGGACAACAAACAGAGGUUGGCAACAUUGUACAAAUCACCGAGUCAGAAGGAGUCGACCGUACCUUUCCAUAUUACACCUCAUGGCUUCCGGGAUGUGCAUCCUCCACCUCCAAGCCAGACCCCAGCAGAAGUUGAAAUUAACCCUCGAAAACGGCCACGGAUAGAAGGGGACAAACAACAGUGAUACAAAGGAUAAACUUCAACAAAGGUGUGAGACUCUGAGUACAUUGCCAUGACCUAGAGAAGAAUUCUGUGUAAGCUUGAAAGAUAGUCUCGCUCACCAACUGAAGCUGGUUCAAUACAAGAUAUUACCUCACCCACCUUGUCUCUCUAAACUCCUAGGUCUUGCCUACCCUGUUUUUCCUGGAAGACAAUAUGAACCACUGGACUCCUAGUAAGACUGUAAUAUCACAUGAACAAAGAGUGAAACCGGAACAAUGUAGUGGGGCAAGGAAUUUUUAGUCAAACUAUUU
Molecule: RNA transcript, 1434 nt
Organism: Mauremys reevesii (Reeves's turtle)
Lineage: Eukaryota; Metazoa; Chordata; Testudines; Geoemydidae
Gene: RAD51C
Gene name: RAD51 paralog C
Exons: 11
Source: RefSeq, a predicted model, not a curated record